GGCACUGUAGCCAAGUGGUUACGGCGUCACGUUUAGGUCACUGCACCACAUCCGUGAUGGGAAACCUCGCGAGUUCGAAUCUCGUCAGUGUCA
Phlebopus sp. FC_14 is the source of this 93-nucleotide non-coding RNA. NCBI's taxonomy places the organism in Eukaryota, Fungi, Basidiomycota, Agaricomycetes, Boletales, Boletinellaceae. The record is from the annotation of a GenBank genome assembly.